GACGAACGCUGGCGGCGUGCUUAACACAUGCAAGUCGAACGGUAAGGCCCUUUCGGGGGUACACGAGUGGCGAACGGGUGAGUAACACGUGAGGAACCUGCCCUUGACUCUGGGAUAACAGUGGGAAACUUCUGCUAAUACCGGAUAUUCAGAUUCUGCCGCAUGGUGGGGUUUGGAAAGCUUUUGUGGUCAAGGAUGGUCUCGCGGCCUAUCAGCUUGUUGGUGAGGUAAUGGCUCACCAAGGCGUCGACGGGUAGCCGGCCUGAGAGGGCGACCGGCCACAUUGGGACUGAGAUACGGCCCAGACUCCUACGGGAGGCAGCAGUGGGGAAUAUUGCACAAUGGGCGGAAGCCUGAUGCAGCAACGCCGCGUGCGGGAUGACGGCC
RNAcentral lists this ribosomal RNA (387 nucleotides) under uncultured bacterium. RNAcentral's name for it is "bacterial SSU rRNA". It matches the Rfam family "Bacterial small subunit ribosomal RNA", at positions 28 to 416 of the family's 1533-position model. The record is from RNAcentral.